Molecule: ribosomal RNA, 967 nt
Filed under: Trigonopterus sp. 762 AR-2022a
Lineage: Eukaryota; Metazoa; Arthropoda; Insecta; Coleoptera; Curculionidae
Also listed under: 4 other names
Description: SSU rRNA
Rfam family: Eukaryotic small subunit ribosomal RNA
Source: RNAcentral
GUCAUAUGCUUGUCUCAAAGAUUAAGCCAUGCAUGUCUCAGUACAAGCCAAAUUAAGGUGAAACCGCGAAAGGCUCAUUAAAUCAGUUAUGGUUCCUUAGAUCGUACCCACAAUUACUUGGAUAACUGUGGUAAUUCUAGAGCUAAUACAUGCAAACAGAGCUCCGACCGGAGACGGGAGGAGUGCUUUUAUUAGAUCAAAACCAAUCGGUGGCGGGUUCGCUCGUCAUCGUACAACUUGGUGACUCUGAAUAACUUUACGCUGAUCGCACGGUCAUCGCACCGGCGACGCAUCUUUCAAAUGUCUGCCUUAUCAACUGUCGAUGGUAGGUUCUGCGCCUACCAUGGUUGUAACGGGUAACGGGGAAUCAGGGUUCGAUUCCGGAGAGGGAGCCUGAGAAACGGCUACCACAUCCAAGGAAGGCAGCAGGCGCGCAAAUUACCCACUCCCGGCACGGGGAGGUAGUGACGAAAAAUAACGAUACGGGACUCAUCCGAGGCCCCGUAAUCGGAAUGAGUACACUCUAAACCCUUUAACGAGGAUCAAUUGGAGGGCAAGUCUGGUGCCAGCAGCCGCGGUAAUUCCAGCUCCAAUAGCGUAUAUUAAAGUUGUUGCGGUUAAAAAGCUCGUAGUCGAAUUUGUGUCUCGCGCCGCCGGUUCAUCGUCCGCGGUGUUAACUGGCGAGUCGCGAGACGUCCUGCCGGUGGGCUUAGCUCGCGAGGGCGGCCCAACUCAAUCCUGCCGCGGUGCUCUUCAUUGAGUGUCGAGGUGGGCCGGCACGUUUACUUUGAACAAAUUAGAGUGCUUAAAGCAGGCUAAAACUUCGCCUGAAUACUGUGUGCAUGGAAUAAUGGAAUAGGACCUCGGUUCUAUUUUGUUGGUUUUCGGAACCCCGAGGUAAUGAUUAAUAGGAACGGAUGGGGGCAUUCGUAUUGCGACGUUAGAGGUGAAAUUCUUGGAUCGUCGC